Molecule: long non-coding RNA, 706 nt
Organism: Pistacia vera
Lineage: Eukaryota; Viridiplantae; Streptophyta; Magnoliopsida; Sapindales; Anacardiaceae
Exons: 2
Source: RefSeq, a predicted model, not a curated record
GGUCAAAGAGUUGAUAAGAAAAAAAUUCUCAUUUUGUAAGACCUCCAGCCAUUGCUGCACUUGCUGGUCAAUAUUCAUAUUCAGGCCCACCUUCACAAUUUAACCCACACAUAGGUUCUUCCUUCGUCAACUAGUCCUAUUGGUGUUCCAAGUCAGCAGUCGACAUCUGGUCAAUAAGCACACUUUGCUUCACAGUCACAGCAGUUUGCAAACCUAUCUGCUUCCUUUGCAACCUCAGCCACACCCACUGAUCUAAUCUGGCACAUGGAUUCCAGUGCAACCGAUCACAUCACUUCUGAUCUAGCUCAGUUGAAUGUCAGUAAACCGUAUGAAGGUUCAGAUCAGCUACAAGUAGGCAAUGGACAAAGUUUCCAGGACAAAGUUUCCAGGACUAUGCUACUUCAAGGAGACCUUAAAGCAAGGCUAUAUCGGCUUAUCAUACCUUCUUGUAUGUCUGUUCAGUCCUCUCCUCAUUUACAAGUUUCAUCCUCAUAGUUUCUACACUCUGAAAAUUAUGCUCUGUCAAAUAAUAAUCAGGGUCGUACAUCUUUACAGUCGUCAGAAUUCGAGUUACCAAAGUCUGAUAUCAAUAUCAAUGUCAAUAAACCUGAGUGUUUGAGUGAUAGUACAAUUUCAGUUUCUGUGUGUAGUCCUGACAAUACGUGUAUUGAUUCUUCUAGCAAUAAAGAGAAAUUUCAAUAUUCAA